AUUAAACGCUGGCGGCAUGCCUUACACAUGCAAGUCGAACGGCAGCACGGGGGCAACCUUGGUGGCGAGUGGCGAACGGUGAGUAAAGCAUCGGAACGUGCCCCUGGAGUGGGGGAUAACGUAGCGAAAGUUACGCUAAUACCGCAUAUUCUGUGAGCAGGAAAGCAGGGGAUCGCAAGACCUUGCGCUCUGGGAGCGGCCGAUGUCGGAUUAGCUAGUUGGUGGGGUAAAGGCCUACCAAGGCGACGAUCCGUAGCGGGUCUGAGAGGAUGAUCCGCCACACUGGGACUGAGACACGGCCCAGACUCCUACGGGAGGCAGCAGUGGGGAAUUUUGGACAAUGGGCGAAAGCCUGAUCCAGCCAUGCCGCGUGAGUGAAGAAGGCC
Molecule: ribosomal RNA, 386 nt
Filed under: uncultured bacterium
Lineage: Bacteria
Description: bacterial SSU rRNA
Rfam family: Bacterial small subunit ribosomal RNA
Source: RNAcentral